Phascolarctos cinereus (koala) is the source of this 2425-nucleotide long non-coding RNA. The record is from Ensembl. Lineage: Eukaryota; Metazoa; Chordata; Mammalia; Diprotodontia; Phascolarctidae.
GGACCAGGGACUCUGAGGGCCGGAUGGUGCUGUUGGUGUGUACCCAGCAUCUGGCCUGGCUCGGUCCUCGCUGUGGUGUCCGGGAGAUCACCGACCUCUUCCUUUACCUGCAUAGCAUUCCCAGGUGGGAACGGGGCCUGCCUUCGGCUGGGGGGCAGGGCUUGGAAGGGCUGGGUCCUGGGAGGUGGGUGUGCCAGAAGUGCCAAGGGCCCGAGAGUCACCCCCAGUCUGCUCUGCUUUUGGCAGACCUGAGGAUCAGGCCCGCGGACUGACUGUGCUGGUGGACGCCUAAUGCUGCCUGCCCUACUCCAGGCUCUUCCAGGGGCUUCUCCAGAUGCAGGUGAGCCUGGGCUGGCUGGGUCCCUGGCCUGGGCUGGCCUCCCUGUGCCUGUGUUCAGGUGUGGGGACGGGAGGCAGGGGUUGGGUGUGGGAAGGCUCGACAGUCCUGAGGCCUGUUAGGGAGGGCUCCAAGGUUCAGGGGCAAGGGCUCCCUGGGACUGAGGUCUGGGCUAAUGGCUGUUUCAGAACAUUGUCCCAGGCUCUGUGCACCAGGUCCUUCUGCUGGGGAAAAUGUUGGGGGCUCCACCUCCAGGACUGAAGGUACCUAGGCUGGGCUUCCCCCGACCACUUGGCCUGCCCAACGCCAAUCACGGCUGGUGUGGCCCUGCUCCCUGCCAGCCUGCGGGUCACGGGCCCCCAUCCAGGUCAUUCCUCUUGCCCUGGAUCCCUUUCCCCCAGGUGUCCAUGAUUCCUUCCUUUGAUGCUUCUCUCCCCACAGGCUCUUCUCUCCUUCAUCCCUACCUCCCAGCUGCCCUUCACUCUGGGGGGCCGUCUCCACUACAACCACGAUGCUUGGCUGGGUUUCCAAAAGCUGCUGGAAGCCUUGCAGGAGAGCUACCUGGAGGCCCUUGCCCUGCUCCACAGGGCCAUCCAGAACCUAAAAGGAGAUCCCAGGCCGGGGACUGCUGGGGUGAGUGUGCAUGGUGGCUCCCGGGGGUGGUCACAUCACCCCCUUGCCCCCCACCCCCUCUGUGGCACUGCCUUCUUGCUCUGCUCAUCUCUGUGGUGUCUGUGCCCAUCCUCGGGGACUGACGCAGCUGUUGUGGGACCCACGGGAGCUGAUGGAGCGUGUGCUGGUAUACCCUCUGCUGCUGUGGUUGCAGCGGGAAGGUGGCAUGGCCCUGGCAGAGCUCCAGAGGGAGGAGCCGGGUGGCAUGCAGAGCUCGGACCACAGGUGGGCAUUGUGGAGAGGCCUCAGGGUGGUGGAACUUCCCAUCCCAUGGUGCCCCGCUCAAGAGGGACAAUUGUUUCUCAUGCCAGGCUGGCGGUGGAGGAGGUGGGGAAGCUGUACGCCCAGGCGGAUGGGAUGCUGCAUGAGCUGGUCACUUGUGCAACCAACGGAUAUGGACACGAGUUGGAAAAGAUGCUGAAGGCCCAGACAAAACCGCUGGCCGAGAUUGAGACGUGGCUGCAGAACGUCGGCUGGCCGGGGCUGACGGUGCCGAAGGACCCUUUGCUGAACAUGCUGCUUCAGGCCCAGGAUGCCUUCUUCAGGCUUGACUGGGCUUCCCAGGUGGGCUCGGGUCAGAGGAGAGCAGGAUACAGGAUUCUUUUUUGUGGGGCAGAAUGGAGGGCAUGCAGGCAGAGGCCAGCCCAGGCUUGGUGGUGGUGGGUGGGGUAGUGUGGGUAGUUCUAUAUCAAGGGAUCCUAGGACCUCAGGAACCUUAUUGAUCCACUCUCCCAUUCCAUAGAUUACAAGACCAAGGCCCAGAAGCCAUCCUGGGGUAGCAGCAGGGGAGCAAGGCUGGCAGAAGGCAGGAGGGGCAGAGGGCAUCCCAGGUCUAGGGUGGGUUUGACCGGCCCUUCACUCUCCCCAGAAGUUCAUCCGUCGUGGGGAGGAGAUGAUGGUCGGCUGGGAAAUGGCCGAGCUGGGCCACCUGGGCACCCCUGGGGCCCACCUCAUGUCCCUGCGCGCCCAGCUGUCCGACUACUCCAAGGCGCUCGACCGGCGCCAGCAGCAGCUCAAGGAUGCCCAGGAGCUUUCUCAGAUGCUGGAUCAGGUGACGGGGCCCGGGCCCACUCCACAGAGGACUUGGGUGAGAGGCAGGAGGCUGGGGGUGGGGAUCCUGGGCCUCCCUUUCCCUGUCUGUGAAAGGAGAACAUUGAUGUCUCUUCUGGCUCUCGGCCUCCAGGUCGGCGAGCAGGAGGGGAGGCAGCUGGUGUCCAAUGCUAGCCUCUCCCCUCUUUUCCCGGGCGGGCAGGGCCCAUGCCCACUGCAGACAGGGAGGCCAGGCUGAGAAGGGCCAGGACCAUGCCUUUCUCCCAUUAUUCUCCAAAAAGGGGGCCCUCCUGUCGCUUGCUGAGAGGACCCUGAUUGUCGGGGAAGGUCUGAGGAAGGGAGUUUCCUUUCCAAAGGAAGCUGAUU